AGGGAUAUAGCUCAGUUGGAAGAGUGCCUGCCUUGAAUGCAUAAGGCCCUGGGUUCAAUUCCCAGCACCAUUA
Non-coding RNA from Ictidomys tridecemlineatus (thirteen-lined ground squirrel), 73 nucleotides. NCBI's taxonomy places the organism in Eukaryota, Metazoa, Chordata, Mammalia, Rodentia, Sciuridae. The record is from Rfam.